This 252-nucleotide ribosomal RNA is filed under the name uncultured bacterium. Its description in RNAcentral is "partial 16S ribosomal RNA". It matches the Rfam family "Bacterial small subunit ribosomal RNA", at positions 524 to 776 of the family's 1533-position model. The record is from RNAcentral.
UACGAAGGGGGCUAGCGUUGCUCGGAAUUACUGGGCGUAAAGCGCACGUAGGCGGCUUCUUAAGUCGGUGGUGAAAUCCUGGAGCUCAACUCCAGAACUGCCUCGAUACUGGGAGCUCGAGUCCGGGAGAGGUGAGUGGAACUGCGAGUGUAGAGGUGAAAUUCGUAGAUAUUCGCAAGAACACCAGUGGCGAAGGCGGCUCACUGGCCCGGUACUCGACGCUGAGGUGCGAAAGCGUGGGGAGCAACAGGG